This 369-nucleotide RNase P RNA is filed under the name Gammaproteobacteria bacterium. RNAcentral's name for it is "RNase P RNA component class A". It matches the Rfam family "Bacterial RNase P class A". Rfam says of the family: Ribonuclease P (RNase P) is a ubiquitous endoribonuclease, found in archaea, bacteria and eukarya as well as chloroplasts and mitochondria. Lineage: Bacteria; Pseudomonadati; Pseudomonadota; Gammaproteobacteria. The record is from RNAcentral. RNAcentral also lists the same sequence under 1 other name.
GGAGUCGGCCAGGCAACCGCCGUUUUGUCAUGCAAAGCGGAGGAAAGUCCGGGCUCCAAAGGGCAAGGCGCCAGGUAACGCCUGGGGGGCGCGAGCCCACGGAAAGUGCAACAGAAAGCAAACCGCCUAAGUCCGCAAGGACUGGUAAGGGUGAAAGGGUGCGGUAAGAGCGCACCGCGUCCCCGGUAACGGUGGACGGCACGGCAAACCCCGCCUGGAGCAAGGCCAAAUAGGGAAGCACCGCGGUCGCAAGGCCGCAACGCGUGGCCCGCGUGAGCUUCCGGGUAGGCUGCUUGAGGUGCACGGUGACGUGCAUCCCAGAGGAAUGGUUGCCCACGACAGAACCCGGCUUAUCGGCCGACUCCCACC